This 430-nucleotide unclassified non-coding RNA is filed under the name soil metagenome. RNAcentral's name for it is "partial contains 5.8S ribosomal RNA, internal transcribed spacer 2, and large subunit ribosomal RNA". The stretch from base 1 to 120 matches the Rfam family "5.8S ribosomal RNA", at positions 35 to 154 of the family's 154-position model. The record is from RNAcentral.
GAUGAAGAACGCAGCGAAAUGCGAUACGUAAUGUGAAUUGCAGAAUUCAGUGAAUCAUCGAAUCUUUGAACGCACAUUGCACUCUCUGGUAUUCCGGAGAGUAUGCUUGUUUGAGUAUCUGUAAACAUCUCAAAUCUCUCUUCAAUUGCUUCAAUUGGGUCGAGAGAAUUGGAUUUGAGCGAUCCCGACUCCUUCGUCAGAAAGAGGAGGGUCGCUUGAAAUGCAGGUGCAGCUGGACAUUCUUCUGAGCAAAAAGCAUAUCUAUUUAGUCCCGUCAAACGGAUUAUUACUUUUGCUUCAGCUAAUAUAAAGGUUGAAUGAACUACCAACGCUGAUUGCAGGAAAACAUGUUCGUUUAUUCGGACUUGUAAACUCGAUCUCAAAUCAAGUAAGACUACCCGCUGAACUUAAGCAUAUCAAAAGCGGAGGA